AGGCUCUACACAUGCAAGUCGAGCGGUAGAGAGAAGCUUGCUUCUCUUGAGAGCGGCGGACGGGUGAGUAAUGCCUAGGAAUCUGCCUAGUGGUGGGGGAUAACGUUCGGAAACGGACGCUAAUACCGCAUACGUCCUACGGGAGAAAGCGGGGGAUCUUCGGACCUCGCGCCAUUAGAUGAGCCUAGGUCGGAUUAGCUAGUUGGUGAGGUAAUGGCUCACCAAGGCGACGAUCCGUAACUGGUCUGAGAGGAUGAUCAGUCACACUGGAACUGAGACACGGUCCAGACUCCUACGGGAGGCAGCAGUGGGGAAUAUUGGACAAUGGGCGAAAGCCUGAUCCAGCCAUGCCGCGUGUGUGAAGAAGGUCUUCUGAUUGUGAAGUACUUUAUGUUGGGAG
RNAcentral lists this ribosomal RNA (400 nucleotides) under Pseudomonas sp. FS15(2011). RNAcentral describes it as "bacterial SSU rRNA". It matches the Rfam family "Bacterial small subunit ribosomal RNA", at positions 44 to 446 of the family's 1533-position model. Lineage: Bacteria; Pseudomonadati; Pseudomonadota; Gammaproteobacteria; Pseudomonadales; Pseudomonadaceae. The record is from RNAcentral.